CCUACGGGAGGCAGCAGUGGGGAAUAUUGGGCAAUGGGCGAAAGCCUGACCCAGCAAUGCCGCGUGAAUGAAGAAUGUCUUAGGAUUGGAAAAUUCUGUCCUUUGGGAAGAAAAACAUUACGGUACCAUAGUAUUAAGCCCCGGCUAACUACGUGCCAGCAGCCGCGGUAAUACGGAGGGGGCGAGCGUUGUCCGGAAUUACUGGGCGUAAAGAGAGCGUAGGCGGCACUACAAGUCUCAUGUGAAAUACCCGGGCUUAACUUGGGUGUUGCAUGGGAAACUGUAGGGCUUGAGUACAGGAGAGGCAGGCGGAAUUCCUAGUGUAGCGGUGAAAUGCAUAGAUAUUAGGAGGAACACCAGUGGCGAAGGCGGCUUGCUGGACUGAAACUGACGCUGAGGCUCGAAAGCGUGGGGAGCAAACAGGAUUAGAUACCCCGGUAGUC
RNAcentral lists this ribosomal RNA (443 nucleotides) under uncultured bacterium. RNAcentral describes it as "partial 16S ribosomal RNA". It matches the Rfam family "Bacterial small subunit ribosomal RNA", at positions 338 to 795 of the family's 1533-position model. The record is from RNAcentral.